AAAGCAACGUGUUCUGUCGCUUCCGGCAUUAAUACCGGAAGAGGAAAGUCGGGGCAAUACAGGGCGCCAUACUUCCUAACGGGAAGGUUCCGCUGUCGGCGGAAACAGCAAGUGCCACAGAAAAUAACCGUCCCGCCUCUGGCGGGAUAAGGGUGAAAAUGUGGGGUAAGAGCCCACAGGCAGGGUUGGCGACAGCCCGGUCGGGUAAACCUUAUGGAUUGAAAGGCCAAAUAUACCGGAAAGUGCUGCCACGUGCAGCACAAGAGCGGCCCGCUCUUCCGGGGGGUAGGUCGUUUGAGCCUUGUGGCAACGCAAGGCCUAGAUAAAUGACAGGAACCAACAAUGAUUUCAUUGUAGGAACAGAACCCCGCUUACAGCGUUGUACGGCAC
RNAcentral lists this RNase P RNA (390 nucleotides) under Bacteroidetes bacterium HGW-Bacteroidetes-9. Its description in RNAcentral is "RNase P RNA component class A". It matches the Rfam family "Bacterial RNase P class A". From Rfam's summary of the family: Ribonuclease P (RNase P) is a ubiquitous endoribonuclease, found in archaea, bacteria and eukarya as well as chloroplasts and mitochondria. Its best characterised activity is the generation of mature 5'-ends of tRNAs by cleaving the 5'-leader elements of precursor-tRNAs. Lineage: Bacteria; Pseudomonadati; Bacteroidota. The record is from RNAcentral.